This 3602-nucleotide long non-coding RNA is filed under the name Taeniopygia guttata (zebra finch). RNAcentral describes it as "lncRNA (ENSTGUG00000025658.1)". The record is from RNAcentral. Lineage: Eukaryota; Metazoa; Chordata; Aves; Passeriformes; Estrildidae.
AGGUAUUUUCCCCUUACUUGAUGUCAGAAGGAAGGAAACCCCCAACCGGUCCCCACUGAGGCAUCCCACAGUACCUAUGAUAACUCACACGAUGGUUCUUGUGCCUUUUCCUAUAUGAGACAACUUUCCCUUUCAUCUAAUGUUCAAGGUAUAUAUAGGCAGUGUAUGGUGCAUAAAUCAAACACAGCUUUCUUUGAACCCAAAAUGCUGUUGCUCUAUAUUUUCUUGGUGAGUUGCUGCUUACCUGGCUCAAUGGGAGGUGCAGUAGAAGAAUUUAAAGAAAACCUCGAGGCUCUAGUAGCUCCAGCAAACAAAGAGAUCUUUCUUCCAGUACCCAAGGGGAAAUUUCAGUGCAGUCAUGUUCCUUGUCAACUUAAAAAAACCAUAGAAGGACUGAAAAUUUCCUUUAAGAGUAAUUCAGCAAGAACCCGUAUUUCUCUGAUGGAGAAUAACAUGAAUCACAUAACAUCAACUUUAAAGAAAACACGUACACAACCCAAGAACAUCAUAUCCUGUCCAAUGACAGACCAGACCAUACAGACAGCUCUGAAUAUCUUCAAGAGAUAUUUCCAGAAGGUGAACGAGAACUGCUGGGAGUCCUGAUGGCAGGUGUUGGCACCCCAAGUACUUGGAGACAACUCUUACCCAACACUAGAGCGGUUCUGAUGGAAGACAGAGCACCACAAAGAGACACCACAAUGUUAACGUGAAUGUUUCAUGUAUGAAUGAUCAGAUAUUUAUGUCUUACUGCAAUUAUUAGCAUAUUUAUUUAAUUUAUAGAGAGCGUCUAUAUUUUUAUCCUAAUGUUCAAAGUGAUCAUGAAUAAAAGAACUUAAAAUAUUAUAUAUAAAAUAAUAAAAUAUAAUAAUAAUUAUAUAUAUAACAUUAUAUUGUGGAGGUCGUGCACUAUAAUAACUAAAGUAUUAGUCAAGGCUAUAUGAGUAAAAUCAAAAAAUAUACAGAUUAAGAGUCAGAUCCAUUGAUGUGCUCUUCUGCAGGCACUUACAAAAUUGUUAAAUAUUUCCCACCUGAAGGCAGGAAUAAAAAGGAGAGAAGGUUGUCUUUUAAAUAUAUUAAUAAUUAAGUUUGAGAACAGUGUGUUUCCCUGUAAUCUAUAAUAUAAUUGCAUUGUGUUAUACGUGCAGGAUACACAUUCUUUAUUUGACCAAAAUAUUUAGAGUACGAGCAGAUCAUAUUUAUUUUAAUAUUACUACAAAUAUAUGUUCAACCAUGGUAUCUUCAAUUUUUUUGGUAGAGUCAGGAAUUAGUGUUGUUGGCUCAGUGAAAAGCCAAAACAAAACCCUGAGUGGGUCUCUGGGUUAUUGCCAUAGAAAUAUAGAAAUAAUUGUCAAACAGACAUAGUGGUGGUAGCAAAGCUUGUCUAAUUUAGGCUGGAUUGGUUUGUUUGGUUUUUCUUCUCAGGGCUGCCUAAAGCUGAAUUUUUUAUGAAGAAUGGGAUUACAAGCCACUUUCCCUAAAUAAAAAGAUGGCAUUUUUCUAGAACCUGAAGUGUCAGAGGAAAACAAUGCUUUUGCUAGUGUAUGGAAGUAUUCCCUGAUUUCCAAAUAAAAUGCAGUUGAUUCACUUAGCUGGCUUUUGGGGCACGAAGCAGUUUGAAGACCUGCCCAGCUAGACAUUGUGUAAUUUCUAAGUGAAAAGUACUUGGCAUAGAUGUAUUUUUGGGAAGUUGUAGCCCAUCUCUACUGAAAUAAACAAUAGGAUUAAGUAAUCAAGCAUAGUUAUGUCCAAGGAACCAUCCAGUUUGUGAUGACUGUGCAGAUGGAUAUGAUUUUACAAGAAGCAAAAGGUACACAUCAAAGAGAUUCCCAUCUUGGUAACUGAGAAAAGCUAGGAUAAAUUCAGACGUUGGUAUUAGCGGUGUAACAGAUGUGUUGAAACUAAUAAAUCUUCUCCAGAGUGGUAAUAAGGAAACCUGGAGAACACCGUCCCACAAAACCAUGCCCACGCUGUUAGUCACUGCUGGAGGUUUAGCAAGAGCAGACAAGAACAGAACAAUGAACUUUGAAUGAGCAAACAUGUGAAGGCAUCUCUCUAAACAGGGCCCUUCUGACAAGUUCCCAAGGAAUCAAAAAUGCAUCCAGAGAAACACAGGAAGCAGGGAAACCUGUCUCACACAGAGGAGGCAUUUAAGUACUUCAACAUCUGCUCUCACAAGUAAUUGUAAAUGAUGUACAGCUGCUAAAAUUGAGGCAAGACUGAGAAACAUGACUUAUAUUUUCUGCAUAAAACUGAAAAAUAGGAGCAAAGGCAGCAUUUUACCACAAAGUUUGCAGAAGCUGUAUAAUCUUAGUCAAAACAAACCCCUUUCAACUAACCAUUGCUGAGUAAUUGUAAUCUUAACACAGGCCAUGCUUAGAACUCAUCUUUCCUUCUAAAACAUGUUAAAACCUGCUAAAAGUGUGAGCUACAAUGUGCUGUACCUGCACUGGGGACAACAAUGCUCACCCACACCAAGCUAAACCUCACAAGAUAAGCACAGAGAAAUGCUACUAAGUGCUUAAAUACCCAGACUGCAGUUUAAUUAGCUAAUUAAGCAGAAGACAUCUCUAAUUACAAUUAUGCAAUUUUGCAUAAGGUCAGCUCAUACUUUAAAGUGUAUUCUUUCACUGUUCUGUCUCAUUACCUUGCCGUGGGUCUAUCCACAUAGCAAAAUCUCUUUCCAUUUUGUUCUUCUGGAAGUGUUUUCCUGCAUUAGCACAGGUUAACAGACUUUGGAGUGCAUGUAAUUCUUGUUUUAUGCUCUGUGCUCUUCAGAAAUAGCAGUGGCCAGGAUUAUAAAACAAUUUAGAACCCUCGGGAGCAUUCUAAAGUAGCCUGAGUGGCAGAAAUGGAUUUUUAGUGUGCUGCCAACAUGGUAUAUUAUCCAUUUACCAUGCUGUCAAUGUAUUGAAAAGUCAUUUCAAAGGAGAAAAGAAAGGGGGUCUUUCAAACCAGAUUCAUCCAGGCACAUGAAGAAGGUUUUUAGGAGCGCUGGCAGGGAAAAGCUGCACACACAAGAACAGAGAAAGCUGCAAGAUUUGCUAUACAAACUUUAAAAUUCACGUGCAAUCUACACAAUGCUGUUUACCCUGUGACUGAAGAGGAAAAGCCUUUCAUUUAAGACUUUCAUUUUCAGGAUGUAUAAGCAAAAAAUCCACCCAAACUAGGCAGAGUCUGCUCUCAGGAAGGUCUUGCUGAGUGCAGAGGGCACCUGGUGCUCAGGCAGGCUCCUGCUGCAGGGUGUGACCCUGGGGGAAUUGAAAGCCUGGUCGUGGCUGCCACUGUAAAAAUCAGAAAACAAAGAAACAAAACAUUUAAGGACAAAUAUACUGAUUGGUUUAGGCUAAAAAAAAUCAUAAUCACAGGUUUCUGAGCUCCUACAAAUUUCAUUUUAUGGUGAGGGAAGCCAAAGGAAUUUAGAAAACAGAAGAGAUGCUAAAGCUGCCAGAAGGAAAUCCUGAGAUCUGAAGCAAUAAGCAUCCCACCAUUGUUCUUCUGCCUUGGCACUUCAGGGAGAUACAUGAUAAUGGAUUCAGGGUUUUUUACAAUAUUUCACUAUUCUGGCUACCAUUCCCCUGGUGCUUAAAAGCUUUCUAAUACAG